This 402-nucleotide ribosomal RNA is filed under the name bacterium. Its description in RNAcentral is "partial 16S ribosomal RNA". It matches the Rfam family "Bacterial small subunit ribosomal RNA", at positions 355 to 776 of the family's 1533-position model. The record is from RNAcentral.
UGGGGAAUUUUGCACAAUGGGGGAAACCCUGAUGCAGCGACGCCGCGUGAUUUAGAAGGCCUUCGGGUUGUAAAAAUCUUUUUUACGGGAUGAAAAUGACAGUACCGUAAGAAUAAGGUCCGGCUAAAUACGUGCCAGCAGCCGCGGUAAUACGUAUGGACCGAGCGUUGUCCGGAAUCAUUGGGCGUAAAGGGUACGUAGGCGGCCUAGUAAGUUAGAAGUGAAAUAAUAUAGCUCAACUAUAUAAAGCUUUUAAAACUGCUAGGCUUGAGAGAUGAAAGGGAAAGUGGAAUUCCUAGUGUAGCGGUGAAAUGCGCAGAGAUUCGGAAGAAUACCGGUGGCGAAGGCGACUUUCUGGUCAUCAUCUGACGCUGAGGUACGAAAGCGUGGGUAGCAAACAGG